This 492-nucleotide ribosomal RNA is filed under the name uncultured bacterium. RNAcentral's name for it is "partial 16S ribosomal RNA". It matches the Rfam family "Bacterial small subunit ribosomal RNA", at positions 29 to 507 of the family's 1533-position model. The record is from RNAcentral.
AGUGAACGCUGGCGGUAGGCCUAACACAUGCAAGUCGAACGGCAGCACAGUAAGAGCUUGCUCUUACGGGUGGCGAGUGGCGGACGGGUGAGGAAUACAUCGGAAUCUACUUUUUCGUGGGGGAUAACGUAGGGAAACUUACGCUAAUACCGCAUACGACCUACGGGUGAAAGCAGGGGAUCUUCGGACCUUGCGCGAUUGAAUGAGCCGAUGUCGGAUUAGCUAGUUGGCGGGGUAAAGGCCCACCAAGGCGACGAUCCGUAGCUGGUCUGAGAGGAUGAUCGGCCACACUAGAACUGGGACACGGUCCAGACUCCUACGGGAGGCAGCAGUGGGGAAUAUUAGGCAGUAGGCGCAAGCCUGGUCCAGCCAUACCGCGUGGGUGAAGAAGGCCUUCGGGUUGUAAAGCCCUUUUGUUGGGAAAGAAAAGCAGCAGGUUAAUACCCCGCUGUUCUGACGGUACCCAAAGAAUAAGCACCGGCUAACUUCGUG